This 253-nucleotide ribosomal RNA is filed under the name uncultured bacterium. RNAcentral describes it as "partial 16S ribosomal RNA". It matches the Rfam family "Bacterial small subunit ribosomal RNA", at positions 524 to 776 of the family's 1533-position model. The record is from RNAcentral.
UACGUAGGGUGCGAGCGUUAAUCGGAAUUACUGGGCGUAAAGGGUGCGUAGGCGGUUGUUUAAGUUUGGUGUGAAAUCUCCCGGCUCAACUGGGAGGGUGCGCCGAAUACUGAAUGACUAGAGUGCGGGAGAGGAUAGUGGAAUUCCUGGUGUAGCGGUGAAAUGCGUAGAUAUCAGGAGGAACACCAGUGGCGAAGGCGGUUGCCUGGGGCUUUGCUGACGCUGAUGCGCGAAAGCGUGGGGAGCGAUCCGG